AGUUUGAUCAUGGCUCAGAUUGAACGCUGGCGGCAGGCCUAACACAUGCAAGUCGAACGGUAACAGGAAACAGCUUGCUGUUUCGCUGACGAGUGGCGGACGGGUGAGUAAUGUCUGGGAAACUGCCCGAUGGAGGGGGAUAACUACUGGCAACGGUAGCGAAUACGGCAUAACGUCGCAAGACCAAAGAGGGGGACCUUCGGGCCGCGUGCCAGCGGGUGUGCCCAGAUGGGAUUAGCUAGUAGGUGGGGUAAC
This 255-nucleotide ribosomal RNA is filed under the name Escherichia coli. RNAcentral's name for it is "partial 16S ribosomal RNA". It matches the Rfam family "Bacterial small subunit ribosomal RNA", at positions 10 to 261 of the family's 1533-position model. Lineage: Bacteria; Pseudomonadati; Pseudomonadota; Gammaproteobacteria; Enterobacterales; Enterobacteriaceae. The record is from RNAcentral.